Molecule: long non-coding RNA, 5819 nt
Organism: Bubalus bubalis (water buffalo)
Lineage: Eukaryota; Metazoa; Chordata; Mammalia; Artiodactyla; Bovidae
Exons: 4
Source: RefSeq, a predicted model, not a curated record
AUUGUCUAAAAUAUACAUAAAAUAAAUAGCAGUAAUAAUUCAUUAGCACAAAAUAAAGUAAGAAAUACAUAUUAAAAGGAUGUAUAUCAUAACCACAUUUAUUUAAGAAUGUAUUCCAAUAUCAAACGGCAAAGAUUAACAAUGCAAGACUGAAAUUAUUUUUCCACCAACCUAAUAUCUCACUGUGGUUUUAAUUUGCAUUUCCCUGAUUAGCAAUGGUGAACAUCUUUUUAUGUACUUGUUAGCCAAUUGAAUAUCUUCUUUGGAAAAAAAUUCUAUAUUCAGAUCCUUUGCUAAUUUUAUAAAAUUUAUUUUUUGUACUGAAUUGUAUUUGAGUUCCUUAGACAUUUUGGAUCAUAACCCUGAAUCAGAUAUAAGGUUUACAAGUAUUAUCUCUCAUCUAUGAGUCACCUUCUCAUUUUGUGGAUCAUUUCUUUUUCUAUGCAUAGUCUUUUUUGUUUGAAUUAGUCCCCCUUGUUUAUUUUUUAAUUUUGUUGCUUAUGCUUAUGGUGUUAAUUUUAAAAAAUCAUUGCCAGGAUCUGUAUUAAGAAAAUUUCUACCAUGUUUUCUUCUAGGAAAUUUCUGGUUUCAGGUCAUACAUCAAAGUCUUUAAUCCAUUCCCAGUUAAUUUUUGUAGUGAAAUAAGAUUGGGGUCUAUUUUUAUUCUUUUGCAUGAGAAUAUUCAUUUCUUCAGGAAGAUUUAAAAGACUAUCUUUUUCCAUUGAGUAUUUUUGGCUCCAUUGUGAAAUAUUAGUUGACCAUAUAUACAUGAGUUUAUUUCUGGGAUUCUGAUUGUGUUCUGUUGGUUCAUGUGUCUGUUUUUAUACCUGUAUCAUAUGACCUUGAUUAGUGUAGUUUUAUACUAUUACUUGAAAUCAGAAAGUGUGAUGCCUGUGGGUUAUUCUUUUUUCUCAGGAAUUCUUUGUCUAUUGGGGUCUUUUUCAAUUUUAUAUGAAUUUCAACAUUGUUUUAUUUAUUGAUUUUUUGACAAAAGUAUCUAUAAUAAUAUACCAUUACUAAAAAAAAAACAAAAAACAAAAAACACCUCAUUUCUCAAAAAUUAAAAUUUUCCUUGAUAGUUGCAACAUCUUGUUUUAUAGCCAUUUCCUUUUUCCAUUUUUUGAGUAUCUGUUCUAAAUUUCCUGUAAGGAAUUAUUUCUUCAACAACUCACAAACAACAUGAAAGCUUUUAAUGAAGUAUGCUGCCAAGAAAUAUGAAAUAAGUUCAAAAGGCAUAUGACCUGAUCAAGGUUGACUUGUUGCAUUGAGACAUUUUCCUGAAAUUUUGUGACAGAAAUAGGUGCUGUUUCUCUAGUCUUUACCCUAAAAAAUGUGGGGGGAAACUGCUGCAUACAUUGCUCACUCAUGUUUAGAGUCCAAGAUACAAGAGGCAAAACUGAAAACAGAUAACUUAAAAUCUCAUCCUAGUGACAUUUUCUGAGCCAUGGACCAACCAGUGACUGAUCUAUACCUGGAUCUAAGUUCUUUACUUCUGGUUCCAGCAGUUUGGUACUCAGUUUUGGAGCCUCUUUUAUAGUGAAGCAUUAAUAAUGAGAUAAGAUUCUGAUUCUCUCCUAGCUCUUUCUCUCUAUUCUCCCCUAAAAUAUUCUUUGAGAAAUAUAUCAUUAAUGUGAGAAAGAAGAAUGAAGUCUUGUAAAAUAGAAGAAAAACAUUUAUUUUACUCUCAUAAAUUUAAAAAUGCUAUUAGAUAUAGAUUGGCAUUUAGGAUCAGUUUAGAAUCUUCAUUAUAUAAUGUAUUCUAAGUAUAUCUUUCAAAUUUAAAGAUAUAAAUUAUAAUUUAUAUAAUAUUAAAAUAUGUGCCAAUAUGUUCUAAUAAUUGAGGAAGAAACAAGUAAGAUGACAUCUGGUUCAAAAAAUAUUUUGAGGAACUAUAAACAUCUUGGAGAAAAAAGAGUGCAAAGAUAAUAUUAUUAGGGUAUAUACAAAAAUAGUCAAUGUCUAAUAGGGCAAUAAAUCAUAAUUUAAGGGAUUUUUUUUCUACCAGACAGAAAUAUGCAAGUUAACAUUUUAACUUCACAGUGUCUAAACACAAAAAUCUGCAUGAAAUCAAUAAUAAAUACAAAAUAAAACAUGGGUGCACUUUUCUAUAGAUGUAAAAUAUCUUUCAAUCAUUCAUUCUUCAACAAAUGCCCCAGCAUAGUAUCAAAAGUGGUAUGUGCUUUUGGAAAUGGGGGAAAUGUGUUUCCAAAUUUGAAAUAUUUUCUCACAAUUUCUUUAUCCAGAUCAAUUAUAUCAAUAAUUGAUAUAGUUUUUAGUUUUCCUACUAUACUGUCUUCAUUUCAAUAAGAUGCUUGAAGCACAGUGGAUUACUAAGGAGUAGAGAUUUAACAAAAAAAAAAGUAUCUUGAUAUGAAAUAAAGCAAAUCAAUGACAUGAUCCCACAAUUCUACUCCUAGGUCUAUAACCAAGAAAAAUGAACCCAUUUUCCCACACGAAACACAUACAUGAAUGCUCAUAGCUGCCUUAUUCUUAGUAGCCAAAUAAGAAAACAACUCAAAUCUUUAUCAACUGAUGCUGCUGCUGCUGCUGCUGCUGCUGCUAAGUCCCGUCAGUCGUGUCCGACUCUGUGCGACCCCAUAGACGGCAGCCCACCAGGCUCCCCCGUCCCUGGGAUUCUCCAGGCAAGAACACUGGAGUGGGUUGCCAUUUCCUUCUCCAAUCAACUGAUGAGUGGAUGAAAAAAAAUGCACAAUAUCCUUGCAAAAAUAGUAUUCAGGAACAAAAAGUAAUGAAAUAUUGAUACAUCUGGCCACACUAUGGACCUUGAAAAUGUUAUGCUAAGUGAAAGCAGCACAAAAGAUCAUAGUGUAUGCUUUCAUUUAUAUUAAGUGAAACAAGGUUUUUCUGAAAUAGGAAAAGAGAGAGAAAGUAGAAUAGUGGUUGUCAGGGGCUGGGAAGAGGAAGAAAUGGGGAAUGGCCAUCAAUGAAUACAGGAUUUCUUUGGGGAGUAAUGAAAUUUUCUAAAAUGUAAUGCUGGUGAUGGUUUCAUGGUGUUAUAAAUAUACAAAAAGCUAUAGAGCUGUUUAGAUAAAAGGAAUAAUUGCAUGAUAUUUAAAUUAUAUCCUAAUAAAACCCUCAUAGGCUUAAGGGCAUGGGAGUAAAACAUUUCACAAAGAGAAUAAAUUAUACCCUUGGCUGACACCAGUAAGGCUCCAAAAUGCAAUAUAUACUGAGUCUGAAAUUGGAUUUUGAAUUUUGACAUUACCAGAAUCAAAUCACUAAACUACAGAGUUUUGCUUAUGAUCUCUUAUGUAUAUAGAUUUUCUUGACAGAUCAAAAUUCUCAUAUUUUCUAAUUAAAACUUUAGCACACUUGGAACACCAAGGAAAAUAUUCAAAAAACCUUAUGGUGAGAAACCAGAGAGCUACGGUUUCCUCCUCUCAGUGACACAGAAUGCAUAUUUCAAAAAGACCAACUCUGAGUAAGGUUCCUUACACCACAGUAGUUAUACAGAAUUCAGAAAUGAAGCUCAGGCUCCAAACUAAGGAAAGUGAUUUAAUUCAGAGUCACUUACUUGCAUUCUUGUUCUGUGAAUAUUCACUUGCUUUCCACUUUGUUUGGAAGAGAACCCUUCUGUACUGUUUGUCAGCAAAUAUGUCAAAAGAGCAAAUAUUUAGCCACCAGAUUAUGAUGCAAUGCUCUAUUUUCACAAAAGGGGACAAAGCCUUAGGAAACAGAAACUUUCAUUUUGUAUAAAAUAAAUCAUUUUAAAAUUUUUAUUGUAAGAUUUCCUUUCUGGAUAGGAUGUAAUUAGUUGUGGCAGCACACUCCCAAACACCAGGAAAGAAAAAUAAAAGAGUCAAUUACAAAAGUCAUUAUUAAAGUUUUCAGAAGCUUUUGGAGUGAUGAGGAUCAGAUAAAUUGGAAUUCCAGAAGAGAAGGAGACUCUAGCAUAGCGGGCUGAGGAUCACUGAUUGAGUUUCUUGUUCAUUGCUAGAAGCACGUGCUGAUUCUGAGCAUGGAGUGGGGCUUGGGUUUAGCUCAAAUAGAGAGAAAGCAGCGGCUUUUGGUUUGUUCCAUGCUUAAAUCAGUGUUUGUUUCUUCAUACUCUCAGUGUUGUGCACUCUUGGUGGGGGAAGAACUAUUGAUUUUUCAUGAGUUGCCUAAAACUAAUAUUGGUUCUUUAAAGACUUUACUCAGAAAAUUUGAUGGCAAUACAUGUAUCACUUAUCAUAUCAGAUUCUUUUCCCUCUAUCAUCUUUCAUUUUUGUUCAGGAAAACCUACCACAUUAUGUGAGAUUAUGGGAAAAAGCUGAAAAGUGGUUGAUUUGAACAGAAUUUUGAAUUUCCAUACCCUUACUUAACUUAACAUUGAAUUUGUUGGAGGACUGCAAUACAAGUCUGCAAAGCCCCUGCCUAAGGUUCUGUGGAGAUACACAGGAAAGAAACCAGAAAUUUAGGAGCCAAUACCCAGCUAUAUGAAUGGAUUCUACAGAAUGAUCUUCUUGAAUACUGCAGCACUCUUUUGACUGUCUGUAUUCAUUCUCUCCCACCUCUCUGCACUCACCCCACAGCCAUCCCAAAACCAGAGCUUUUAUCACUCACUGUGGAACCAAUGGGAUCUAUGAAGCUGUUUACCAUGGGUCCCUAUGGUGGGAAUUCCCUUGUUGAGUGAUCAGCUUGAUAAUGUUUCUUGAGUAAAAGCCAAAGGGACAGCUGUUGAAUUAGACUUGCAUAGAAUGAUGAGUUCUGAUCUGCUUAAUGCUUUGAAUGAAGUUAUUAACAACCUUAUGUGAGUAUAGGAUGUAUGCUUUUCUGAGAAGCAUCAGUAUUUUAAAAGGAGUAAUUCAUUUCAUUCAGUUAAAUUUAGUACUUUUACAUAAUCUCCAGGACAUGGCUAAAAUCAAAUGGAAUUGUCUGGUAUGUCUCAACUUCUAUGAAAGCAUUUAGAUUCACUACUGUUACUGGAUAUUAGAUUCCAACCUCAAAGAAAUUUAUUGAAAGAAACUUAGCUAUUUUUAAAGGAACAUAUUUUUUCAUUGUUAAUAUUUAUUUUUUAAAAGAUAUUACCAUUGUAAAGAAUUUAGGUAAUAUGACAAAAAUAUAGAAAAAUAAAAAUGAAAAAAAGUCACUUAACACACCUCAUGUAGUUAUAACCAAUUACCAGUAUAGAAAUAUUAAUUUAGAUAUUUUUGUGCUAGUUUAUAAGUAGAAAAUAAAAAGGAAAUAAUUAUAAAAAUGGAAUAAUGCUACUUAAUAAUUAUUUAAAAUAUUCUAUAUUGACAUAUUUAAAUUAAAGGAAGAGAAAGUUCAUGAAGUAAAAUGGAGAGAUACAAAUGGAAACGUAGACUAACCCAGCCUCAUUAUUCCGUAAGGUCAAUAAUUAGUGGCUAUCCAUGAACAAAAACAUCUUUGAGAGAUCUAAAGUCCACUUAUGAUAUUUCAGCAACACUGUGGAACAAAAAAAAAAAAAAAAAAGCAAAAAACACAAACAAACCUGAGAAUAGUCACACAGUUCAGAAUGAAGAAGACAGCUUGCUCAUGGCUGCAUCAUCAUAUUCUCAAGCCAGCAUUGCUUAGCUCCAAGAGAGAACUUCACAGCUAGGAAGAGUUCUUCUAGGAACCUAGCAGGGAAGAGUGAGUUGAAUGACCAGCUUUUAAAGCCUUUUGGGGCACAUAAAUGGAAAAAAAAAGAAAAAAAAACCUAAAUAUUUAUGAAGUCACAAAGAACUGAAAUAGCCACAGGAGUCCUGAGAAAUAAGAAUGAAGCUGGAAGCAUGCCACCUCUUAUUUUAAACUCUAUUACAAAACUAUAGAAAAUUUUAAAAUACGGUAUUAUCAUAAAAAACACAUAGAUG